Molecule: ribosomal RNA, 462 nt
Filed under: uncultured bacterium
Lineage: Bacteria
Description: bacterial SSU rRNA
Rfam family: Bacterial small subunit ribosomal RNA
Source: RNAcentral
CCUACGGGAGGCUGCAGUGGGGAAUAUUGCGCAAUGGACGAAAGUCUGACGCAGCCAUGCCGCGUGAGUGAUGAAGGCCUUCGGGUCGUAAAGCUCUUUUCUGAGGGAAGAACGAGCGGGUUUAAUACGCCCGCAGUGACGGUACCUUAGGAAUAAGGAACGGCUAACUCCGUGCCAGCAGCCGCGGUAAUACGGAGGUUCCUAGCGUUGUUCGGAAUUACUGGGCGUAAAGGGAGCGCAGGCGGACAGACAAGUCUGGAGUGGAAGCCCGGGGCUCAACCCCGGAAGGGCUUUGGAUACUAUCUGUCUUGAGUUCGUGAGAGGAAGGCGGAAUUCAGGGUGUAGCGGUGAAAUGCUUAGAUAUCCUGAGGAACACCGGUGGCGAAAGCGGCCUUCUGGCAUGAAACUGACGCUGAGGCUCGAAAGCGUGGGGAGCGAACGGGAUUAGAUACCCUGGUAGUC